CCUACGGGUGGCUGCAGUGGGGAAUAUUGGGCAAUGGGCGCAAGCCUGACCCAGCAACGCCGCGUGAAGGAAGAAGGCUUUCGGGUUGUAAACUUCUUUUGUCAGGGAAGAGUAGAAGACGGUACCUGACGAAUAAGCCACGGCUAACUACGUGCCAGCAGCCGCGGUAAUACGUAGGUGGCAAGCGUUGUCCGGAUUUACUGGGUGUAAAGGGCGUGUAGCCGGGUUGACAAGUCAGAUGUGAAAUCCUGCGGCUUAACCGGAGAACUGCAUUUGAAACUGUUGAUCUUGAGUACUGGAGAGGCAGACGGAAUUCCGAGUGUAGCGGUGAAAUGCGUAGAUAUUAGGAGGAACACCAGUGGCGAAGGCGGACUGCUGGACAUUAACUGACGCUGAGGCGCGAAAGCGUGGGGAGCAAACAGGAUUAGAUACCCGUGUGGUC
RNAcentral lists this ribosomal RNA (442 nucleotides) under uncultured bacterium. RNAcentral's name for it is "partial 16S ribosomal RNA". It matches the Rfam family "Bacterial small subunit ribosomal RNA", at positions 338 to 795 of the family's 1533-position model. The record is from RNAcentral.